RNAcentral lists this unclassified non-coding RNA (342 nucleotides) under soil metagenome. Its description in RNAcentral is "partial contains 5.8S ribosomal RNA, internal transcribed spacer 2, and large subunit ribosomal RNA". The stretch from base 1 to 120 matches the Rfam family "5.8S ribosomal RNA", at positions 35 to 154 of the family's 154-position model. The record is from RNAcentral.
GAUGAAGAACGCAGCGAAAUGCGAUAAGUAAUGUGAAUUGCAGAAUUCAGUGAAUCAUCGAAUCUUUGAACGCACAUUGCGGCCAUAGGUAUUCCUUUGGCCAUGCCUGUUCGAGCGUCAUUUACACCCUCAAGCCUAGCUUGGUGUUGGGCGUCUGUCCCGCCGUUUUCGCGCGCGGACUCGCCUCAAAGUCAUUGGCGGCGGUCGUGCCGGCCCCCUCGCGCAGCACAUUUGCGCUUCUCGGAGGCCCGGCGGAUCCGCGCUCCAGCAAGACCUUUCACGACUUGACCUCGGAUCAGGUAGGGAUACCCGCUGAACUUAAGCAUAUCAAUAAGCGGAGGA